AUUGAACGCUGGCGGCAUGCUUUACACAUGCAAGUCGAACGGCAGCGGGGUAGUGCUUGCACUACUGUCCGGCGAGUGGCGAACGGGUGAGUAAUAUAUCGGAACGUACCGAGUAAUGGGGGAUAACCAAUCGAAAGAUUGGCUAAUACCGCAUACGUCCUACGGGAGAAAGCGGGGGAUCGCAAGACCUCGCGUUAUUCGAGCGGCCGAUAACUGAUUAGCUAGUUGGUGGGGUAAAGGCCUACCAAGGCGACGAUCAGUAGCGGGUCUGAGAGGACGAUCCGCCACACUGGGACUGAGACACGGCCCAGACUCCUACGGGAGGCAGCAGUGGGGAAUUUUGGACAAUGGGGGCAACCCUGAUCCAGCCAUGCCGCGUGUAUGAAGAAGGCCUUCGUGGUGUAUAGUACUUUUGUUAUGGAAGAAAAGGGAAGUGCUAAUACCACUUUUUUGCUGACGGUACCUAAAGAAUAAGCACCGGCUAACUACUUGCCAGCAGCCGCGUGAAUACGUAGUGUGCGAGCGUUAAUCUGAAUUUUUGUGCUGUAAGCGAGCGCAUACGGUGUUUUAUGCUUGAUUGAAAUCCCCUGGCUUGACUGGUUGCUGCUUUUUGAAUGUUUUGUUGAGGGGUGAUAGGUGUGUUGUAUUGUGUUGUAUUGUGUGUGGGUUUUUUGGUGGUGGUGGUUUGUGCUGUUGUGUGUUCGUGUUUUUUUGAUUUGUUUUGUGUUGUGUGGUGUGUGUGUAGGAAGAGUGUGUUGUGAUGGUGUGUUG
Molecule: ribosomal RNA, 771 nt
Filed under: uncultured Actinomyces sp.
Lineage: Bacteria; Bacillati; Actinomycetota; Actinomycetes; Actinomycetales; Actinomycetaceae
Description: bacterial SSU rRNA
Rfam family: Bacterial small subunit ribosomal RNA (bases 1-530)
Source: RNAcentral